Molecule: non-coding RNA, 1179 nt
Organism: Coturnix japonica (Japanese quail)
Lineage: Eukaryota; Metazoa; Chordata; Aves; Galliformes; Phasianidae
Source: RefSeq, a predicted model, not a curated record
AUUCUCUAUUUAUGGGUAGUGCAAACAAAACUGCUCUUUUCUACUAAGAUACCUGUUCAAUGUCCUCUAGCAUUCUUCCUCUGGAAUCAACUCAUCUCUCUUUCUCCAUGGUUAAAUUUCUUCUCCCUUUCUUUCCCGUCUUCCCAUGAGCCUACCUAAAACAAUGCAAUUAUUCAGAAAGGAGUGGUAGACAUGUUGUUAUUUCAAAAUCCAAGAAAACUCCAGGAGUAAAACAAUGCAACUAAAUAUAAAAACAGAUAAAGGUGUUCAUGAAGUCUGCAAUAACAGUAGUGAAAUACUUUUAUUCCUAAACAUGGAGAAUUUUAAAUUGCAAUUGUUUUGACGAUAGCCACUUACAGUUUGUAUAAUCAAGACAAAUGGUUAUCCACAAGCUCUGACUAUCAUGCAGGAAACGUUAUUUCUAGAGAUCUUGUUACAGAAAUACUGGAGGAAAUGAAAGUAGUGCUAAAAUACUUCAGCUAUUUUGUCAUUCUCAUACAUCUUGAUCUCAUGAACACGAACCACCCUCAAGAAACACUUUCAGUGAAGACCAUUCUGCAGAGUGCAUCACAGUGUUUUUCCUGCAAGCAAAAAAGCCCAUACUGAUGUGUAAAUUGUUGCAAUGAGAUAAAAGACAUGUUCCUUUUAGUAACUGCUAUCAUAUUUUAUGCAGCCUUGUUGUGAGGCAUCCUUUGACUUCCUAGUCCUGCCCAGCAGUUAAUUCAGUCACACGCUCCUUCUCUCUCACUACUAUUUCAUAGCAAUCUCUAGAAAAACUCAGUUUUCUGGAUGUCUGGGGAUUCUUCCUGCCUCUGGUUCACACCCAGCUGCCUGUGGACCAUCUAUGGUUAGCACAGCUCUCUAUUUGGCAUAGUCAACAUUGUCAUGGAAAUGAAAACACCAUUACAUCUUGCAAGAAUAUCUCCAGGUGUUUGGGGUACUGGAAUUCACAUCUACUUUGUGCCAGGAAUUCACAUGGCAUCGUAUACAAGAUUAUUUUGGUGCCAUUUUGCUUGUAACUUUGGAUGUGCCAAGAAUACUUUUUGUGAAGAUGCUGCUUUAGACUGAUGCUUGGAAGAGUGAACAGGUCUUUGGGUCAACACACUACUCGAACACAGAUCAUGCGCCUUCUGUGCUAUUUUACCAUUUUGCAAACUAAUAAACUUGUCUGAUGGUCCC